GGCUACCUGGCGCAAUGGUAGCGCGUUUGGCUUCGAUUGCCUAGCGUACCAAAAGGUUGCAGGUUCGAGUCCUGCGGUGGUCA
Molecule: transfer RNA, 83 nt
Organism: Gloeophyllum trabeum ATCC 11539
Lineage: Eukaryota; Fungi; Basidiomycota; Agaricomycetes; Gloeophyllales; Gloeophyllaceae
Rfam family: tRNA
About the family: Transfer RNA (tRNA) molecules are approximately 80 nucleotides in length. Their secondary structure includes four short double-helical elements and three loops (D, anti-codon, and T loops). Further hydrogen bonds mediate the characteristic L-shaped molecular structure. tRNAs have two regions of fundamental functional importance: the anti-codon, which is responsible for specific mRNA codon recognition, and the 3' end, to which the tRNAs corresponding amino acid is attached (by aminoacyl-tRNA synthetases). tRNAs cope with the degeneracy of the genetic code in two manners: having more than one tRNA (with a specific anti-codon) for a particular amino acid; and 'wobble' base-pairing, i.e. permitting non-standard base-pairing at the 3rd anti-codon position.
Source: Rfam